UGGGGAAUAUUGCACAAUGGGCGAAAGCCUGAUGCAGCGACGCCGCGUGAGGGAUGACGGCCUUCGGGUUGUAAACCUCUUUCGACAGGGACGAAGCGCAAGUGACGGUACCUGUAGAAGAAGCACCGGCCAACUACGUGCCAGCAGCCGCGGUAAUACGUAGGGUGCGAGCGUUGUCCGGAAUUACUGGGCGUAAAGAGCUUGUAGGCGGUUUGUCGCGUCGUCUGUGAAAACUCACAGCUCAACUGUGAGCUUGCAGGCGAUACGGGCAGACUUGAGUACUGCAGGGGAGACUGGAAUUCCUGGUGUAGCGGUGAAAUGCGCAGAUAUCAGGAGGAACACCGGUGGCGAAGGCGGGUCUCUGGGCAGUAACUGACGCUGAGAAGCGAAAGCGUGGGUAGCGAACAGGAUUAGAUACCCUGGUAGUCCACGCCGUAACGGUGGGUACUAGGUGUGGGUUUCCUUCCACGGGAUCCGUGCCGUAGCUAACGCAUUAAGUACCCCGCCUGAGGAGUACGGCCGCAAGGCU
RNAcentral lists this ribosomal RNA (529 nucleotides) under uncultured bacterium. Its description in RNAcentral is "bacterial SSU rRNA". It matches the Rfam family "Bacterial small subunit ribosomal RNA", at positions 355 to 895 of the family's 1533-position model. The record is from RNAcentral.